UACAUGGGGUGCAACCGUUGCUCGGAAUUAUUGGGCGUAAAGCGCACGUAGGUGGUCGCUUAAGUCGGAUGUGAAAGCCCUCGGCUCAACUGAGGAAGUGCAUCCGAAACUGAGUGGCUAGAGUAUGGAAGAGGGUCGCGGAAUUCCCGGUGUAGAGGUGAAAUUCGUAGAUAUCGGGAGGAACACCGGUGGCGAAGGCGGCGACCUGGGCCAAUACUGACACUGAGGUGCGAAAGCGUGGGGAGCAAACAGG
This 253-nucleotide ribosomal RNA is filed under the name uncultured bacterium. Its description in RNAcentral is "partial 16S ribosomal RNA". It matches the Rfam family "Bacterial small subunit ribosomal RNA", at positions 524 to 776 of the family's 1533-position model. The record is from RNAcentral.